CUGGCACCGAAACGACAAUCUCGGAACUAAUCUUAAGUAAAUGUGUCUCAUCCCCAUUUUAACGAAGUUCGGUGGCCAGUAUUUAACAGACAGCCGACAGGACAACCACACCAGUUUUCAUAGGGUCUGGAACCUUCUUGAAAUAUUUUGCAUGGCCCGUGACACAAACACACCUCCAAAUACCGAGUACUCAUUGGUUGAUUUAAUUCGCAGUGGAAGCUGUACAAAGCAAAAGAGUUGUAAACAUCAUCAUCGUCGUCAUCAUCAUCUCUAUGCAAAAAAUAUUGCAUAGCCCGAUUCUACGCAGAAAAGUCUAUCGUGGGUUGGUUGGGCAAUUGGCGAUAUAAAAGUGGGUCGACCUUGUGCAGUUCUCUUCAUUCAAUAAAAGCGAUCUUCUGUCUGCUGCAUCAUGCACAAAAGUGUUAGCUUGUUGUAAAGCACAGCCACGUUUCUGCGAGUUACUAGACACACAAGUUGAAGCGAGUUCAGUUCUGCAUAAAAGUUCACACGAGUAGCGAAUUGCUUUUGCAUUCACUUUUUCAUACCAAAAACUCCAAAUAUUAGCAAGUUCACGACCGCAUUACAUGUCCUAGACACGCGUGUAUUGUUGCGUAAUAAUAAGUAAUAGGGCAAAACAGUGAUAUCAAAGUUUUUUGUGAAAAUAAUCAACGAAAGAAAAAGCAAAAAAAAAAUACAAAAAAAUGAUAUCAAAGGCUGUCAGUUUCUUUGCGAAUCUAGUCUGGAUUUUGUUAUUUCCGGCUUUUGUAAUCCUAAUCUUAACGCCCAUCACUGCUUUGCGGUUAUUCACGAGGAUAUAAUAAAAAUAGGCCGGUUUUAUCGACGGUGCAGAGAUGGAUGGCAUAUUAAACGAGCUGGUUCGAGGGGUCCGGGAUUUUCCAUGCAUUCAUUACACUGAAAUAAUAAAGCAUGCAAGGCGAGAGGAUGGCCGAGGAGGUGAUGAAAAUAUUCGGGAAACCCCACCCGUGUGAAUGGAACGAAAGAAUAGAAUGUGACUGUCAUGGGAAAUCUGGAGAAAAUAGUCUCAUCAUCCGCCAUUGUCCGCAAAAUGUGCUGGUCCUUCCUUUCUGGAAUGUCAAUUAUUCUAUGUCUAAAUUUAGAUUUUGUAUUUGGAGUGAAGCUGCAUUAUGACAAUGAUUCCUGGUCGUAGCGUCUUAUUACCUUCCCGAAAGAUCUCAACAUUGUAUUUACAUGUGUGUAUGUAGUGUACAUUAUUAAUUAUGUAUGUAUUUUAAAAUAAGCUUUAUAUACGUAAUGGAUGAAAACCCGGAUUGGACUUUACAUUUACUUAGCCUUUAAUAAUUUAAUAUGAAUCCAAAAUUCGUUUGGGCUGUGCCAAUAAUAGCGAAUUGACAUACUAAUUUAUUUACUAGUCUUUCUUAUAUACAUAAGUUUUGCAUAACUAUAAUAUUCUUAUGUGCAUUUAAGUAUCGGUUUAUUUAAGGAAGGGAUAAAUUGUGCGAAAAUAAACGUAUUAUGAAUAACUAAA
Molecule: long non-coding RNA, 1507 nt
Organism: Folsomia candida
Lineage: Eukaryota; Metazoa; Arthropoda; Collembola; Entomobryomorpha; Isotomidae
Exons: 3
Source: RefSeq, a predicted model, not a curated record